UACAGAGGUGGCAAGCGUUGUUCGGAAUUACUGGGCGUAAAGGGCGCGUAGGCGGUGUGUCAAGUCAGGCGUGAAAGCCCCGGGCUCAACCUGGGAACCGCGCUUGAGACUGGCACGCUCGAGUUCGGGAGAGGAUGGUGGAAUUCCACGUGUAGCAGUGAAAUGCGUAGAGAUGUGGAGGAACACCGAUGGCGAAGGCAGCCCCCUGGGCUAACACUGACGCUCAGGCACGAAAGCGUGGGGAGCAAACAGG
This 253-nucleotide ribosomal RNA is filed under the name uncultured bacterium. RNAcentral's name for it is "partial 16S ribosomal RNA". It matches the Rfam family "Bacterial small subunit ribosomal RNA", at positions 524 to 776 of the family's 1533-position model. The record is from RNAcentral.